RNAcentral lists this ribosomal RNA (244 nucleotides) under uncultured bacterium. RNAcentral's name for it is "partial 16S ribosomal RNA". It matches the Rfam family "Bacterial small subunit ribosomal RNA", at positions 796 to 1041 of the family's 1533-position model. The record is from RNAcentral.
CACACUGUAAACGAUGAUCACUAGAUGUUCGGCUGUAAUGGCUGAGUGUUCAAGCGAAAGCGAUAAGUGAUCCACCUGGGGAGUACGCCGGCAACGGUGAAACUCAAAGGAAUUGACGGGGGCCCGCACAAGCGGUGGAGCAUGUGGUUUAAUUCGAUGAUACGCGAGGAACCUUACCUAGGCUAGAAUGUGCGUGAAUGAUGGGGAAACUUAUCAGUCCCGCAAGGGACACAAAACAAGGUGC